This 305-nucleotide long non-coding RNA is filed under the name Phoenix dactylifera (date palm). RNAcentral describes it as "long non-coding RNA (PDAC_LNC020668)". Lineage: Eukaryota; Viridiplantae; Streptophyta; Magnoliopsida; Arecales; Arecaceae. The record is from RNAcentral.
UCUUUGAACAUGGGAGUGAAAGUGACGUGGAAGCUUAAUUUCUAAGCACUAAAAGGGUGACGUGGACAUGGGUUCAGCUGCAAACGCGACCUGCACAAAUUAGUUCAGACAUCAUCCCAAUUAGUUCGACUCGAUCUGCACAUAUUAGAAUUGACCAAUAAAAUCAAGCAAACUCGAAUUAUUUUUAAUAAUGCCAUGAUGAAGGGGAACACAUUUUCUUAUGUUGAAUUCACUAAAUAUAUGAAUUAAAAUAAUGAUAAGUGCUAUGAAUAAGAUAUUAAUUUAUGCAUUAUUUAGCACUUAUC